Molecule: ribosomal RNA, 497 nt
Filed under: uncultured bacterium
Lineage: Bacteria
Description: partial 16S ribosomal RNA
Rfam family: Bacterial small subunit ribosomal RNA
Source: RNAcentral
GAUGAACGCUGGCGGCGUGCCUAAUACAUGCAAGUCGAGCGAACAGACGAGGAGCUUGCUCCUCUGACGUUAGCGGCGGACGGGUGAGUAACACGUGGAUAACCUACCUAUAAGACUGGGAUAGCUUCGGGAAACCGGAGCUAAUACCGGAUAAUAUAUUGAACCGCAUGGUUCAAUAGUGAAAGACGGUUUUGCUGUCACUUAUAGAUGGAUCCGCGCCGCAUUAGCUAGUUGGUAAGGUAACGGCUUACCAAGGCAACGAUGCGUAGCCGACCUGAGAGGGUGAGCGGCCACACUGGAACUGAGACACGGUCCAGACUCCUACGGGAGGCAGCAGUAGGGAAUCUUCCGCAAUGGGCGAAAGCCUGACGGAGCAACGCCGCGUGAGUGAUGAAGGUCUUCGGAUCGUAAAACUCUGUUAUUAGGGAAGAACAAAUGUGUAAGUAACUAUGCACGUCUUGACGGUACCUAAUCAGAAAGCCACGGCUAACUACGUG